Molecule: ribosomal RNA, 253 nt
Filed under: uncultured bacterium
Lineage: Bacteria
Description: partial 16S ribosomal RNA
Rfam family: Bacterial small subunit ribosomal RNA
Source: RNAcentral
CACGUAGGGCGCAAGCGUUGUCCGGAAUUAUUGGGCGUAAAGAGCUCGUAGGCGGACUGUCACGUCUGCUGUGAAAAGCUGGGGCUUAACCCUGGCCUUGCAGUGGAUACGGGCAGACUAGAGGUAGGUAGGGGAGAAUGGAAUUCCCGGUGUAGCGGUGAAAUGCGCAGAUAUCGGGAGGAACACCGGUGGCGAAGGCGGCGAUCUGGGUCGAUACUGACGCUGAGGUGCGAAAGCGUGGGGAGCAAACAGG